AUGUAUAUUUGUAUUUAUUAUGGAUCCCCAUUAGUUCCUGCCAAGACAGCAGCUACUCUUCCUGGGGUUUAUUAUGGAUCCCCAUUAGUUCCUGCCAAGACAGCAGCUACUCUUCCUGGGGUUUAUUAUGGAUCCCCAUUAGUUCCUGCCAAGGCAGCAGCUACUCUUCCUGGGGUUUAUUAUGGAUCCCCAUUAGUUCCUGUCAAGGCAGCAGCUACUCUUCCUGGGGUUUAUUAUGGAUCCCCAUUAGUUCCUGCCAAGGCAGCAGCUACUCUUCCUGGGGUUUAUUAUGGAUCCUCAUUAGUUCCUGUCAAGGCAGCAGCUACUCUUCCUGGGGUUUAUUAUGGAUCCCCAUUAGUUCCUGCCAAGGCAGCAGCUACUCUUCCUGGGGUUUAUUAUGGAUCCUCAUUAGUUCCUGCCAAGACAGCAGCUACUCUUCCUGGGGUUUAUUAUGGAUCCCCAUUAGUUCCUGCCAAGGCAGCAGCUACUCUUCCUGGGGUUUAUUAUGGAUCCCCAUUACUUCCUGCCAAGGUAGCAGCUACUCUUCCUGGGGUUUAUUAUGGAUCCCCAUUAGUUCCUGCCAAGGCAGCAGCUACUCUUCCUGGGGUUUAUUAUGGAUCCCCAUUAGUUCCUGCCAAGGUAGCAGCUACUCUUCCUGGGGUUUAUUAUGGAUCCCCAUUAGUUCCUGCCAAGGCAGCAGCUACUCUUCCUGGGGUUUAUUAUGGAUCCUCAUUAGUUCCUGUCAAGGCAGCAGCUACUCUUCCUGGGGUUUAUUAUGGAUCCCCAUUAGUUCCUGCCAAGGCAGCAGCUACUCUUCCUGGGGUUUAUUAUGGAUCCCCAUUAGUUCCUGCCAAGGCAGCAGCUACUCUUCCUGGGGUUUAUUAUGGAUCCCCAUUAGUUCCUGCCAAGGCAGCAGCUACUCUUCCUGGGGUUUAUUAUGGAUCCCCAUUAGUUCCUGCCAAGGCAGCAGCUACUCUUCCUGGGGUUUAUUAUGGAUCCUCAUUAGUUCCUGUCAAGGCAGCAGCUAGUCUUCCUGGGGCCAGCAACAUUAAGGCAGUAAUAUACAUUAUAAAACCAUUUUUAAACAUUAAAAUGCAUUUUAUAACAGACUUCAAAAUACAUUACGUGUGUGGGAGUGACAGACUGGCAGUAGUAGCUGUAAUGUGA
RNAcentral lists this long non-coding RNA (1167 nucleotides) under Oncorhynchus mykiss (rainbow trout). RNAcentral describes it as "lncRNA (ENSOMYG00000061566.1)". The record is from RNAcentral. Lineage: Eukaryota; Metazoa; Chordata; Actinopteri; Salmoniformes; Salmonidae.